AUGACUAACAUUGUGUUAUGUGGUGGGAUGAGGAAAGAUCCUAAGGUUGGAGGUGGUGUCGGUAGAACUCGAGAAGUUGCCAAGAACCGAACCCAACACUCAUCAAGGUAAAUAGACGAAUGGAGUAUGCUAGUUCGGGAGCUUUAGGAGCUUUAGACGUUGGAUUCACUAUUUGCGUUUUUGUACUUUAAAUGACUACUUGUGGAUUUGAAUGAUUGUAACCAUGACUGACAUUUAUUUGGGUAUUCGUAACUAGGGG
This 259-nucleotide small RNA is filed under the name Lupinus albus (white lupine). RNAcentral describes it as "hypothetical ncRNA". Lineage: Eukaryota; Viridiplantae; Streptophyta; Magnoliopsida; Fabales; Fabaceae. The record is from RNAcentral.